Columba livia (rock pigeon) is the source of this 817-nucleotide long non-coding RNA. RefSeq lists it as uncharacterized. NCBI's taxonomy places the organism in Eukaryota, Metazoa, Chordata, Aves, Columbiformes, Columbidae. The transcript is spliced from 3 exons. The record is from RefSeq and is a predicted model, not a curated record.
UAUAUGUCUGUUUUGCUUGGAUCCAAGCCUUUACAAAAGCAAAUAAACAUGUCCUAAACUUCCAUUCAUUUUUUUUUUUACAAGAUCAAAGAGGAAAAGCUGUCUGGAUGUAAAUAGCUAAGCCUCUAAUGAGAUGAUCAGUGAAUUGUUUCUCUCUUGUACUAUAAGCAUUUAAAUUAAAAUAUUGCACUUAGGACACUGCACUUGUAACUUUUGUAUAGCAGGAUCCAAGUGUCCAACACAAGCCAAACAAAUAACUUCAGCGAUUAGCUUUCAAUAUAGGUCCCUAGCCUCUGACCUUUCUUAUUCAACAGAGGCAAGCCAAAUGCUUUGUUAAAGAAUAUUAAUUGUGCCUGGCACUUCUCUAGGACCAAAGACAUCACAAGCAGUUUCCUACUAGCAAGAAGCUGUUGGCAAGAAGCAAAAUCUCAUGCAUAUUUCUGCUCAACUGGAGGCUGACUCAUCUGUACCAGAGGUGAAGAAAAGUCUGAUCUGGUGCUCCCUGUGCAACACUUGGAAAUGGAAGUGGAAUGGCUACACAGUUUCCAGGUGGGCCAUAAGCAAAAUAAAUGUUCUGCUGGCAAGAAGAAAUUACAACAGUAGCUAGUCUCCUGUUAAAUGGAAUUUGAAGUUACUGUCUAAUAUCAAGGGCCUAAACAUGAUGCGUCACAUUUUGUCUGCACUCAAACUGGUUUCAAGUCACUGUAACUUCUCUGACCUCCAUGGACUUUCUCUUGUUCUGCAACAUGCUUGGCCAACAGUAAAUGUGUUGGAAAUUCCUCCAGGGAAAACCUCUCUCCUGGAGCCCUUUGCGGUA